RNAcentral lists this ribosomal RNA (367 nucleotides) under Microserica limbata. RNAcentral's name for it is "partial 16S large subunit ribosomal RNA". The stretch from base 241 to 367 matches the Rfam family "Bacterial large subunit ribosomal RNA", at positions 2473 to 2600 of the family's 2925-position model. The record is from RNAcentral. Lineage: Eukaryota; Metazoa; Arthropoda; Insecta; Coleoptera; Scarabaeidae.
UUUAAUUUAUUUAGAAUUUUAUUUUUAAGUAAGAAAGCUUAAAUUUUAUUAAAAGACGAGAAGACCCUAUAGAGUUUAAUAAAAGGUUAUUUAUAGGUUUUUAAGUAUAUUUUUAUUUAUAUUUAAUUUAUUAUUUUAUUGGGGUGAUAGAAAAAUAUAGUUAACUUUUUUUAGUAUUAAUUCAUUAAUUAGUGUAUAAUUGAUCCAUUAUUUAUGAUUAUAAGAUUAAAUUACCUUAGGGAUAACAGCGUAAUUUUUUUUUAGAGUUCUUAUCGAAAAAAUAGAUUGCGACCUCGAUGUUGGAUUAAAAUUAAUUUUUGGUGUAGAAGCUAAUUAAUUAGGUCUGUUCGACCUUUAAAAUUUUACA